UCACGUGACAUUUUGAAUUUCAGGAGGAAUUCUGCUACCCAGUGGAAUGCCUCGCUCUUACUGUGGAAGAAGUGAUGCAUAUUCGCCAGGUCCUGGUGAAGGCAGAGCUGGAAAAAUACCAACAGUAUAAAGACAUCUACACCGCCUUGAAAAAAGGAAAGCUCUGCUUUUGUUGCCGAACCAGGAGGUUUUCCUUCUUCACUUGGUCUUAUACCUGUCAGUUCUGUAAGAGGCCGGUGUGCUCACAGUGUUGCAAAAAGAUGCGGCUGCCCUCCAAACCAUACUCCACUCUUCCUAUCUUUUCAUUGGGACCUUCUGCUCUGCAAAGAGGGGAAAGUAGUAUGAGGUCAGAAAAACCCUCCACUGCCCAUCAUCGGCCACUUCGGAGCAUUGCCAGGUUCUCCUCAAAAUCUAAGUCUAUGGACAAAUCAGAUGAAGAACUCCAGUUUCCCAAAGAGUUGAUGGAGGACUGGAGCACCAUGGA
RNAcentral lists this non-coding RNA (484 nucleotides) under Pan troglodytes (chimpanzee). RNAcentral also lists the same sequence under 1 other name. The record is from RNAcentral. Lineage: Eukaryota; Metazoa; Chordata; Mammalia; Primates; Hominidae.